Molecule: ribosomal RNA, 518 nt
Filed under: Weissella confusa
Lineage: Bacteria; Bacillati; Bacillota; Bacilli; Lactobacillales; Lactobacillaceae
Description: bacterial LSU rRNA
Rfam family: Bacterial large subunit ribosomal RNA
Source: RNAcentral
AGGUUAAGUUAUUAAGGGCGCAUGGUGGAUGCCUUGGCACUAGGAGCCGAUGAAGGACGGGACUAACACCGAUAUGCUUCGGGGAGCUGUAAGUAAGCUUUGAUCCGGAGGUUUCCGAAUGGGGGAACCCAACUUGUUAUGCAAGUUAUCACCUAAUGAAUAUAUAGUUAGGUUGAAGGUAGACGUUGUGAACUGAAACAUCUCAUUAGCAACAGGAAUAGAAAGAAAAAUCGAUACCGUCAGUAGCGGCGAGCGAAAUCGGUAGAGCCCAAACCAAAGUGCUUGCACUUUGGGGUUGUAGGACUGACAUUGUGGAGUUACAAAGUUAACAUUUAGCAGAAUCAGCUGGGAAGCUGAGCGAGACAGGGUGAUAGCCCCGUAUGCGAAAAGUGUUGACCUCCCGUCAGGAUCCUGAGUACGGCCGGACACGUGAAAUCCGGUCGGAAUCCGCGAGGACCAUCUCGCAAGGCUAAAUACUCCCUAGUGACCGAUAGUGAACCAGUACCGUGAGGGAAAGG